RNAcentral lists this ribosomal RNA (468 nucleotides) under uncultured Thauera sp. RNAcentral describes it as "bacterial SSU rRNA". It matches the Rfam family "Bacterial small subunit ribosomal RNA", at positions 916 to 1381 of the family's 1533-position model. The record is from RNAcentral. Lineage: Bacteria; Pseudomonadati; Pseudomonadota; Betaproteobacteria; Rhodocyclales; Zoogloeaceae.
GACGGGACCCGCACAAGCGGUGGAUGAUGUGGAUUAAUUCGAUGCAACGCGAAAACCUUACCUACCCUUGACAUGUCUGGAACCUUGCUGAGAGGCGAGGGUGCCUUCGGGAGCCAGAACACAGGUGCUGCAUGGCUGUCGUCAGCUCGUGUCGUGAGAUGUUGGGUUAAGUCCCGCAACGAGCGCAACCCUUGUCAUUAGUUGCCAUCAUUUAGUUGGGCACUCUAAUGAGACUGCCGGUGACAAACCGGAGGAAGGUGGGGAUGACGUCAAGUCCUCAUGGCCCUUAUGGGUAGGGCUUCACACGUCAUACAAUGGUCGGUACAGAGGGUUGCCAAGCCGCGAGGUGGAGCCAAUCCCUUAAAGCCGAUCGUAGUCCGGAUCGUAGUCUGCAACUCGACUACGUGAAGUCGGAAUCGCUAGUAAUCGCAGGUCAGCCAUACUGCGUUGAAUACGUUCCCGGGGCUU